RNAcentral lists this ribosomal RNA (253 nucleotides) under uncultured bacterium. Its description in RNAcentral is "partial 16S ribosomal RNA". It matches the Rfam family "Bacterial small subunit ribosomal RNA", at positions 524 to 776 of the family's 1533-position model. The record is from RNAcentral.
UACGUAGGUGGCAAGCGUUGUCCGGAUUUACUGGGCGUAAAGAGCGCGCAGGCGGUCAUUCAAGUCGAGUGUGAAAGCCCCCGGCUCAACUGGGGAGGGUCACUCGAUACUGAUCGACUCGAAGGCAGAAGAGGGAAGCGGAAUUCCCGGUGUAGUGGUGAAAUGCGUAGAUAUCGGGAGGAACACCGGUGGCGAAGGCGGCUUUCUGGUCUGCUCUUGACGCUGAGGCGCGAAAGCUAGGGUAGCAAACGGG